AACACCCGUUGAUCCUGCGGGGGGUCGCUGCUAUUAGAGUUCGACUUAGCUAAGCUAGUUCAGGGGUCGCAAGACACCAGCAGACAGUUCCGUAACACGUCGAUAAUCUGACCUUAGGUCAAAGAUAACCUUGGGAAACUGAGGCUAAUAUUUGAUACAAAAUAAAUACUGGAAUGUAUUAUUUUACAAAGGUUACGCCUAAGGAUGAGUCGGCGUCCGAUUAGCUUGUUGGUGGGGUAAUGGCCCACCAAGGCAAUGAUCGGUAGGGGCCUUGAGAGAGGUAGCCCCGAGGAGGACACUGAGAUAAGGGUCCUGACUCUACGGAGUAUAGCAAGCGCGAAAACUUUACAAUGCACGAAAGUGUGAUAAGGGAACUCUAAGUGCUCAUGCAUAGCAUGGGCUUUUGUUUAGUGUAAAAAGCUAGACGAAUAAGUGGUGGGCAAUACCGGUGCCAGCAGCCGCGGUAACACCGGAGCCACAAGUAGGGACCAGUAUUAUUGGGCCUAAAGCGUUCGUAGCCGGUUUUGUAAAUCCUAUGUGAAAUCGUUGGGCUUAACCCAACGGCGUGCAAAGGACACUGCAAGACUUGAGACCGGGAGAGGUUAGAGGUAUUCUAGGGGUAGCGGUAAAAUGCAAUAAUCCCUAGAGGACCACCUGUGGCGAAAGCGUCUAACUAGAACGGGUCUGACGGUGAGGAACGAAAGCUAGGGGAGCAAACCGGAUUAGAUACCCGAGUAGUCCUAGCCGUAAACACUGUAAGUUAGGUGUUGCAUAUUCCACGAGAAUAUGCAAUGUCGGAGCGAAGGCGUUAAACUUACCGCCUGGGUAGUACGGUCGCAAGACUGAAACUUAAAGGAAUUGGCGGGGGAGCACUACAAGGGGUGCGGCGUGCGGUUUAAUCCAACUCAACACGGAGAAUCUCACCAGGAGCGACAGCAGAAUGAAGGUCAGUCUAAAGGGCUUACUUGACAAGCUGAGAGGUGGUGCAUGGCCGUCGUCAGCUCGUGCCGUAAGGUGUCCUGUUAAGUCAGGCAACGAGCGAGACCUGUACCUACAAUUGCCAUCAGAUAAUUUAUUAUGACUGGGCACGUUGUAGGGACUGCCUUGGAAACAAGGAGGAAGGUGCAGGCUACGGUAGGUCUGUAUGCCCCGAAUCCCCUGGGCUACACGCGCGCAACAAUGGUAUGGACAAUGGGAUGCAACCCCGAAAGGGGAAGCUAAUCCUCAAAACCAUAUCCCAGUUCAGAUUGAGGGCUGUAACUCGCCCUCAUGACGUCGGAAUCCCUAGUAAUCAGAUUUUAGCAUAAUCUGGUGAAUAUGUCCCUGCUCCUUGCACACACCGCCCGUCAAGCCAACCGAGCAGGGUUUAGAUAAAACCUAGUUUUUUGAUUAGGUUGAAUCUGAUCUCAGUGAGGUGGGCUAAGUCGUCACAAGGUAGCCGUAGGGGAACCUGCGGCUGGAUCACCUCCUU
RNAcentral lists this ribosomal RNA (1471 nucleotides) under archaeon. RNAcentral's name for it is "bacterial SSU rRNA". It matches the Rfam family "Archaeal small subunit ribosomal RNA". The record is from RNAcentral.